AAAGUCGUAACAAGGUUUCCGUAGGUGAACCUGCGGAAGGAUCAUUACCGGCAGCGCUCGUGCGGGGUGUCGCUAGCGGAGGCCUCUCGGGGCUCCCGUGCUCGCCUCGUCCCGCCGGGCGUCUCGCUACCACCCCUACCUAUUCGUACCUACGUUACCUCCCAUCGGUGGGGACGCUCGCCGAUGGGAUUCCCCCACCUCGUCACACCUUUCUGUUAACCCACCUUCUGAACCAAACCAACCUCUUACAACUUUCAACAAUGGAUCUCUUGGCUCUG
Molecule: unclassified non-coding RNA, 278 nt
Filed under: Ascomycota sp.
Lineage: Eukaryota; Fungi; Ascomycota
Description: partial contains small subunit ribosomal RNA, internal transcribed spacer 1, and 5.8S ribosomal RNA
Rfam family: Eukaryotic small subunit ribosomal RNA (bases 1-47)
Source: RNAcentral